GAUGAAGAACGCAGCGAAAUGCGAUAAGUAAUGUGAAUUGCAGAAUUCAGUGAAUCAUCGAAUCUUUGAACGCACAUUGCGCCCAUUAGUAUUCUAGUGGGCAUGCCUGUUCGAGCGUCAUUAAGUCCACUUAAGCCCUGCUUAGUGUUGGGAGACUGCUCCAGCGGUGCUACCCUGUAGCUACCCUGCAGCUCCUCAAAGACAGCGGCGGAGUUGUGGUAUCCUCUGAGCUUAGUAACUUGUUCUAGCUUUCGAGUACACCACUUCCCCUGCCGUAAAACCCUUAAUUUUUAAUGGUUGACCUCGGAUCAGGUAGGAAUGCCCGCUGAACUUAAGCAUAUCAAUAAGCGGAGGA
RNAcentral lists this unclassified non-coding RNA (355 nucleotides) under soil metagenome. Its description in RNAcentral is "partial contains 5.8S ribosomal RNA, internal transcribed spacer 2, and large subunit ribosomal RNA". The stretch from base 1 to 120 matches the Rfam family "5.8S ribosomal RNA", at positions 35 to 154 of the family's 154-position model. The record is from RNAcentral.